GACGAACGCUGGCGGCGUGCCUAAUACAUGCAAGUAGAACGCUGAAGGAGGAGCUUGCUUCUCCGGAUGAGUUGCGAACGGGUGAGUAACGCGUAGGUAACCUGCCUGGUAGCGGGGGAUAACUAUUGGAAACGAUAGCUAAUACCGCAUAACAGUAGAUAUUGCAUGAUAUCUGCUUGAAAGGUGCAAUUGCAUCACUACCAGAUGGACCUGCGUUGUAUUAGCUAGUUGGUGAGGUAACGGCUCACCAAGGCGACGAUACAUAGCCGACCUGAGAGGGCGAUCGGCCACACUGGGACUGAGACACGGCCCAGACUCCUACGGGAGGCAGCAGUAGGGAAUCUUCGGCAAUGGACGGAAGUCUGACCGAGCAACGCCGCGUGAGUGAAGAAGGUUUUCGGAUCGUAAAGCUCUGUUGUAAGAGAAGAACGAGUGUGAGAGUGGAAAGUUCACACUGUGACGGUAUCUUACCAGAAAGGGACGGCUAACUACGUG
RNAcentral lists this ribosomal RNA (495 nucleotides) under uncultured bacterium. RNAcentral's name for it is "partial 16S ribosomal RNA". It matches the Rfam family "Bacterial small subunit ribosomal RNA", at positions 28 to 507 of the family's 1533-position model. The record is from RNAcentral.